AGUGAACGCUGGCGGUAGGCCUAACACAUGCAAGUCGAACGGCAGCACAGUAAGAGCUUGCUCUUACGGGUGGCGAGUGGCGGACGGGUGAGGAAUACAUCGGAAUCUACUUUUUCGUGGGGGAUAACGUAGGGAAACUUACGCUAAUACCGCAUACGACCUACGGGUGAAAGCAGGGGAUCUUCGGACCUUGCGCGAUUGAAUGAGCCGAUGUCGGAUUAGCUAGUUGGCGGGGUAAAGGCCCACCAAGGCGACGAUCCGUAGCUGGUCUGAGAGGAUGAUCAGCCACACUGGAACUGAGACACGGCCCAGAGUCCUACGGGAGGCAGCAGUGGGGAAUAUUGGACAAUGGGCGCAAGCCUGAUCCAGCCAUACCGCGUGGGUGAAGAAGGCCUGCGGGUUGUAAAGCCCUUUUGUUGGGAAAGAAAAGCAGCAGGUUAAUACCCCGCUGUUCGGACGGUCCCAAAGAAUAAGCACCGGCUAACUUCGUG
RNAcentral lists this ribosomal RNA (491 nucleotides) under uncultured bacterium. Its description in RNAcentral is "partial 16S ribosomal RNA". It matches the Rfam family "Bacterial small subunit ribosomal RNA", at positions 29 to 507 of the family's 1533-position model. The record is from RNAcentral.